UAAAUGAUGGAAUUCUUAUGACCCAGUUGUGUUAGCUUUGUCGAGUGCCCCUUAAGGCGCUAGGCGGACGGUUAUGCUGCCCCUUUUUUCGGCCAUGCUCUUCCCCUUUUAGGGAACCAUGGAAAAUUAUGUGGUAUUGCUUGUUGCCUCGGAUGCGGAGCAUGAAGCGAGCAUGAUGCUUUGUCAUCAUUCGCUCAUUCGGAGCUCUCGAUUGCUCGAAAAGAGUGACUGUCGCGCAUGGUUUUGGCUGUCGACUCGUCGAAACAGCUCAAAACCUCGCCGACGUCUUCAAUGAAUGCUACCUGGUUGAUCCUGCCAGUAGUCAUAUGCUUGUCUCAAAGAUUAGCCUGCGCAAGA
This 357-nucleotide ribosomal RNA is filed under the name Echeveria rulfiana. RNAcentral describes it as "partial 18S ribosomal RNA". The record is from RNAcentral. Lineage: Eukaryota; Viridiplantae; Streptophyta; Magnoliopsida; Saxifragales; Crassulaceae.